GUGGCACAUGCCUGUAAUCCCAGCUACUCAGGAGGCUGAGGCAGGAGAAUCACUUGAACCCAGGAGGCAGAGGCUGCAGUGAGCUGAGAUCAUGCUAUUGAACUCCAGCCUGGGCAACAAGAGCGAAACUUCAUCUCAAAGAAAAAAAAAAAAAAGAUCCUUCACUCAAUCACACCUGCCGAGUCCCUUCUGCCACGUGAGGCAGCGUGGUCACAGGUUCUGGGGAUUAGGACACAGCUGUCUUGGGGGCUGUUAUCCUGCCACAGCUCCCAAUCUGGAGAGUUCAUAAGUGGGAUCCUGCAGACCACGCCAGCACAGUGCCAGACACGAUGGCACAGUGACUACUGUACUGCCUCCUCCAUCUGAGGGAUUCUAAAGCAGGAAGGGGAGCCGCCCACAGUCUGGAGAAGGGGUGGGGGCAGCAGGGGGAGCCACAUCUGUCAUCUCUGGGCCCCCAAGAGGGCAUCUUUACUUCCAUUUUCAGCCAAGUUCAAACAGGACAAGGUUCCAUGAAAACUAUUUGAAAAGACAGACAGGGAUUCUUAUAUUCCCAGAACCAUUCAAGGCCAGUAACUGGAAUGUUCUACAGUUCACAUCCUGAGGAAACCAAAUCACAGCAUCAAAUUAUGGGAAAUCAAACUCUUUUUGUUCCCCUGCGAGGACAGCAUUUUGCGACCUUGGCCGCACAGAGGAAUGUUUCAAAUAGUGACCCCUGUCCCAUCCAGUCAUUUUCUUCCAGCCGGGCAGAGAAUCCCCCGUGUUUAAAAAUUUAAUGUGAAUCAGGGCUGAGAAUCACUAACUGAAAAGGACCCUACUUUUAAAUUUAUGAAAUUAAACAAAGAUGAAUUUAAUUAUCAUUAAGGGUUGAAAGUUAUAGACUAAACUAUGUCCAGCCAGAGCAGAGGCCUGAGUAACUUCCAAAGUGGUUUGGUUUUUUUUUUUUUGUUUUGUUUUGUUUUGUUUUUUGAGACACAGUCUUGUUCUAUCUCACCCAGGCUGGAGCGCAGUGGCGCAAUCUCGGUUCACUGCAACCUCCGUCUCCCGGGUUCAAGCGAUUCUCCUGCCUCAGCCUCCUGGGUAGCGGGGAUUACAGGCAUGCGCCAGCACACCUGGCUAAUUUUGUAUUUUUAGUAGAGGCAGGGUUUCUCCAUGUUGGUCA
RNAcentral lists this long non-coding RNA (1159 nucleotides) under Homo sapiens (human). RNAcentral describes it as "HSALNT0339075". Lineage: Eukaryota; Metazoa; Chordata; Mammalia; Primates; Hominidae. The record is from RNAcentral.